GGAGUUCAAGCUGGAUGUGGAGAACUGCAGUUUCCUGGAUGAGAGCUGGCUCCUGCCGGUUCAAGACAUCUAUGAAGUCGUGCCCUGCCAG
Nematolebias whitei (Rio pearlfish) is the source of this 91-nucleotide long non-coding RNA. RefSeq lists it as uncharacterized. The transcript has 3 exons. NCBI's taxonomy places the organism in Eukaryota, Metazoa, Chordata, Actinopteri, Cyprinodontiformes, Rivulidae. The record is from RefSeq and is a predicted model, not a curated record.